GGGUUGUGAGGUUAAGCGACUAAGCGUACACGGUGGAUGCCCUGGCAGUCAGAGGCGAUGAAGGACGUGCUAAUCUGCGAAAAGCGCCGGCGAGGUGAUAUGAACCCUUGACCCGGCGAUGUCCGAAUGGGGAAACCCAGUGCAAUCCGUUGCACUAUCGUUAACUGAAUACAUAGGUUAACGAGGCGAACCGGGGGAACUGAAACAUCUAAGUACCCCGAGGAAAAGAAAUCAACCGAGAUUCCCCCAGUAGCGGCGAGCGAACGGGGAGCAGCCCGGAGUCUGAAUCAGCUUGUGUGUUAGUGGAACGGUCUGGAAAGUCCGACGGUACAGGGUGAUAGUCCCGUACACGAAAGCACACAUGCUGUGAACUCGAAGAGUAGGGCGGGACACGUGGUAUCCUGUCUGAAUAUGGGGGGACCAUCCUCCAAGGCUAAAUACUCCUGACUGACCGAUAGUGAACCAGUACCGUGAGGGAAAGGCGAAAAGAACCCCGGCGAGGGGAGUGAAAAAGAACCUGAAACCGUGUACGUACAAGCAGUGGGAGCCUCUUUAUGGGGUGACUGCGUACCUUUUGUAUAAUGGGUCAGCGACUUAUAUUCUGUAGCAAGGUUAACCGUAUAGGGGAGCCGAAGGGAAACCGAGUCUUAACUGGGCGUUAAGUUGCAGGGUAUAGACCCGAAACCCGGUGAUCUAGCCAUGGGCAGGUUGAAGGUUGGGUAACACUAACUGGAGGACCGAACCGACUAAUGUUGAAAAAUUAGCGGAUGACCUGUGGCUGGGGGUGAAAGGCCAAUCAAACCGGGAGAUAGCUGGUUCUCCCCGAAAGCUAUUUAGGUAGCGCCUCGUGAACUCAUCUUCGGGGGUAGAGCACUGUUUCGGCUAGGGGGCCAUCCCGGCUUACCAACCCGAUGCAAACUACGAAUACCGAAGAAUGUUAUCACGGGAGACACACGGCGGGUGCUAACGUCCGUCGUGAAGAGGGAAACAACCCAGACCGCCAGCUAAGGUCCCAAAGUCAUGGUUAAGUGGGAAACGAUGUGGGAAGGCACAGACAGCCAGGAUGUUGGCUUAGAAGCAGCCAUCAUUUAAAGAAAGCGUAAUAGCUCACUGGUCGAGUCGGCCUGCGCGGAAGAUGUAACGGGGCUAAACCAUGCACCGAAGCUGCGGCAGCGACGCUUAUGCGUUGUUGGGUAGGGGAGCGUUCUGUAAGCCGUUGAAGGUGUGCUGUGAGGCAUGCUGGAGGUAUCAGAAGUGCGAAUGCUGACAUAAGUAACGAUAAAGCGGGUGAAAAGCCCGCUCGCCGGAAGACCAAGGGUUCCUGUCCAACGUUAAUCGGGGCAGGGUGAGUCGACCCCUAAGGCGAGGCCGAAAGGCGUAGUCGAUGGGAAACAGGUUAAUAUUCCUGUACUUGGUGUUACUGCGAAGGGGGGACGGAGAAGGCUAUGUCAGCCGGGCGACGGUUGUCCCGGUUUAAGCAUGUAGGCGGAGGUUCCAGGUAAAUCCGGUACCUUAUUAACGCUGAGGUGUGAUGACGAGGCACUACGGUGCUGAAGUGAUAAAUGCCCUGCUUCCAGGAAAAGCCUCUAAGCAUCAGGUAACACGAAAUCGUACCCCAAACCGACACAGGUGGUCAGGUAGAGAAUACCAAGGCGCUUGAGAGAACUCGGGUGAAGGAACUAGGCAAAAUGGUGCCGUAACUUCGGGAGAAGGCACGCUGAUAUGUAGGUGAAGCCCCUGCGGGCGGAGCUGAAAUCAGUCGAAGAUACCAGCUGGCUGCAACUGUUUAUUAAAAACACAGCACUGUGCAAACACGAAAGUGGACGUAUACGGUGUGACGCCUGCCCGGUGCCGGAAGGUUAAUUGAUGGGGUUAGCGGCAACGCGAAGCUCUUGAUCGAAGCCCCGGUAAACGGCGGCCGUAACUAUAACGGUCCUAAGGUAGCGAAAUUCCUUGUCGGGUAAGUUCCGACCUGCACGAAUGGCGUAAUGAUGGCCAGGCUGUCUCCACCCGAGACUCAGUGAAAUUGAACUCGCUGUGAAGAUGCAGUGUACCCGCGGCAAGACGGAAAGACCCCGUGAACCUUUACUAUAGCUUGACACUGAACACUGGUCCUUGAUGUGUAGGAUAGGUGGGAGGCUUUGAAGCGUGGACGCCAGUCUGCGUGGAGCCAACCUUGAAAUACCACCCUUUAAUGGCUGGUGUUCUAACGUAGACCCGUAAUCCGGGUUGCGGACAGUGUCUGGUGGGUAGUUUGACUGGGGCGGUCUCCUCCCAAAGAGUAACGGAGGAGCACGAAGGUUGGCUAAUCCUGGUCGGACAUCAGGAGGUUAGUGCAAUGGCAUAAGCCAGCUUGACUGCGAGCGUGACGGCGCGAGCAGGUGCGAAAGCAGGUCAUAGUGAUCCGGUGGUUCUGAAUGGAAGGGCCAUCGCUCAACGGAUAAAAGGUACUCCGGGGAUAACAGGCUGAUACCGCCCAAGAGUUCAUAUCGACGGCGGUGUUUGGCACCUCGAUGUCGGCUCAUCACAUCCUGGGGCUGAAGUAGGUCCCAAGGGUAUGGCUGUUCGCCAUUUAAAGUGGUACGCGAGCUGGGUUUAGAACGUCGUGAGACAGUUCGGUCCCUAUCUGCCGUGGGCGCUGGAGAAUUGAGGGGGGCUGCUCCUAGUACGAGAGGACCGGAGUGGACGCAUCACUGGUGUUCGGGUUGUCAUGCCAAUGGCAUUGCCCGGUAGCUAAAUGCGGAAGAGAUAAGUGCUGAAAGCAUCUAAGCACGAAACUUGCCCCGAGAUGAGUUCUCCCUGAGACUUUAAGUCUCCUGAAGGAACGUUGAAGACGACGACGUUGAUAGGUCGGGUGUGUAAGCGCAGCGAUGCGUUGAGCUAACCGAUACUAAUGAACCGUGAGGCUUAACCUUACAACGCCGAAGGUGUUU
Molecule: ribosomal RNA, 2933 nt
Filed under: Enterobacter hormaechei
Lineage: Bacteria; Pseudomonadati; Pseudomonadota; Gammaproteobacteria; Enterobacterales; Enterobacteriaceae
Description: 23S ribosomal RNA
Rfam family: Bacterial large subunit ribosomal RNA
Source: RNAcentral